RNAcentral lists this small nuclear RNA (149 nucleotides) under Castor canadensis (American beaver). RNAcentral's name for it is "U1 spliceosomal RNA (ENSCCNG00000014652.1)". It matches the Rfam family "U1 spliceosomal RNA", at positions 1 to 149 of the family's 166-position model. Rfam says of the family: U1 is a small nuclear RNA (snRNA) component of the spliceosome (involved in pre-mRNA splicing). Its 5' end forms complementary base pairs with the 5' splice junction, thus defining the 5' donor site of an intron. Lineage: Eukaryota; Metazoa; Chordata; Mammalia; Rodentia; Castoridae. The record is from RNAcentral.
AGACUUGUCAGGCAGGGGAGAUAACCAUGUUCACAAAGGUAGUUUUUUCAGGGCAAGGCUUAUCCAUUAUACAUUGGAUGUGCUGACCCCAGCACUUUCCCCAAAUGCAGUAAACUUGACCACAUAAUUUCUGGUAGUGGGGGGACUGU